UCUUGAACCUUGCAUUUCCUCCAUUGUCAAUUGUCAUGUUUCAAGAUUGUGUCAAUAUGAUGUGGGGCUUUCUUCACUCCAUCUUCAUUUAGGAAAAUAAUAUUUUUUCAUGUAUAAAAUAUGUAUUCUAAGAUUUAUUCUCUUCAACAAAUAACAUUUCAAAUCCAUUAGUACCAUAACACAUGAAAAGGAAAAUGAGAUGAAUUACUUCAGUAUUGUGCCGGAACUAUUGACCCAAUUGUAUGAUAAAGCUAAAUAAUUUUUUUUUGUUGCCAAAUUUAUCUCUAGCAUGCAUCCUCCUUUAUCGGGUGCGCUAUUUCAACUAAUGAUGGACUCCACAAUUUUUAACUUUAUAGCCACUCUUUUUAUAGUUUCUUCAUGUCGUUGAGCUCUCACACCUCAACCUACGACUCCUGACUAGUUAGCCUUGGCUGCUGGCUCUAAGGGUGGUCAGGGGAUUUAUGGAUAUGGUGACAAUUGUGAUCGUAGACAUACUACUUUUCCUCCAUGCCCUCAUUACAGUUGAACCAAUCACCCUUUCGAAUAUUGUUGGAUAGCAUACUUCCACAAUUGGUCCAACCUUGCCUACUCUCAUGCAUCCUCAUAUGAAAUUAUCAUUAUCUCUUAGUUAGAUUAUGAUUGAUUUCUUUAAAAAUCUCAAAAAGUCUCUCUCAGCCGUUCAUGUCAUCUUUUCCUUAGAAUUCAUUGCAAUUUUCUCUGUUGUUACAUUCUGGGUUUUAUAUUAAAUGCUUUUUUCCAUGCAACUGGUAACCGCCAACUAUGUUUUUCUUUACAUGUUGUCCACACCUCUUGUUGUUUUUACUGAUAGUUUUCCCUCUCUUAUUUUUUGAAAAGGGCAUUUUAUUCAUCUUUCUAAAUCUCUUUUUUAGAUAUUUCAUGUCCUAUAGUUUCUUGUAAAGCAAUUUUCUGUUCAUUAUCUUACUAAAAAUCAUAAUUGCGCUUUGACUUUCUUGCCCUCUCAUUAAGAUUUUUCAUAAUCUUAACUUAAGUAAGAUGAUUGAUCGAGAUUUUGAAGUAGACAGAGUUUACAACUUGAUGACUAGUGCUCUUUCAUCUCCUCUACCACCAUUACUUUGUAUCAAUGGCAUGGUCGAUUAGAAUUUUGUUGGUUUAUCCUCUUCUAAUGGAUAUAUUGCUACUGGCUCGGAAACAAAUGAGGUUUUCGUAUACCAGAAAGCUUUCCCCAUGCCUGUUUUGUCAUACAAAUUUGGCAGCAUUGAUCUUAUGUCUGGCUUUGAAGCUGAUGAUGCCAAUCAGUUCAUCUCCUGUGUGUGCUGGCGUGGCCAAUCUACUGAUCUAAUCGCAACAAAUUCAAACGGAAACAUCAAAAUUUUAGAGAUGGUGUAAUUUUCGUUUUUUUUUCAUAAAGAGUCGUUGCAUUCAGGCACUGUAAUUUUUACACUGUAAAAUCGGAAUGUUGAUGGUUCUAAAGGCGUACGUAGAUCAUGGUGCUGACAUACUGUAUGAUAGUUAAGGAAAACAAAAGAAUUAUUUAUAGGAAAUAUAAAUUCACUUGGAUGAGUAUUUUUUUCCCCUUUCUUUCUCGAGGAGGAAACCCAUUUCAUGAAGCUUCCACUGAAGCUGCAACGGCAGUUUGUAUAGUUUAAUGUUGUAUCUUUUCAAAGUUGGGCCAUGUGCAGAACUCCUCUAUAUACUGAAGCAGACAACAUUUAAUUCUACUCAAGAACCAGUGAGCAUACAAUGCCAAUCUCAAAGUUUAUUGUCAUGAGAUAUGUAAACUAUUUGUGUUAUAUCUAUCAUUUAAGUUUUGGAUAUUAAAGUUUGAUUGUAAUUAAUUAGAUGAGUUAGAGGUUGUAUUUAACUUUUAAAAGCUCUAUACAUUUUUGUGUUAUAUCUGUCAGUGUAUUUAAUCGCUACGAUCUUCAAGGUUUAGUCAAUUUAGUUAAAUGGUUGCCCUUU
Molecule: long non-coding RNA, 1941 nt
Organism: Dendrobium catenatum
Lineage: Eukaryota; Viridiplantae; Streptophyta; Magnoliopsida; Asparagales; Orchidaceae
Exons: 3
Source: RefSeq, a predicted model, not a curated record